GACGAACGCUGGCGGCGUGCUUAACACAUGCAAGUCGAACGGAAAGGCCCUGCUUUUGUGGGGUGCUCGAGUGGCGAACAGGUGAGUAACACGUGAGUAACCUGCCCUUGACUUUGGGAUAACUUCAGGAAACUGGGGCUCAUACCGGAUAGGAGCUCCUGCUGCAUGGUGGGGGUUGGAAAGUUUCGGCGGUUGGGGAUGGACUCGCGGCUUAUCAGCUUGUUGGUGGGGUAGUGGCUUACCAAGGCUUUGACGGGUAGCCGGCCUGAGAGGGUGACCGGCCACAUUGGGACUGAGAUACGGCCCAGACUCCUACGGGAGGCAGCAGUGGGGAAUAUUGCACAAUGGGCGGAAGCCUGAUGCGGCAACGCCGCGUGCGGGAUGACGGCCUUCGGGUUGUAAACCGCUUUCGCCUGUGACGAAGCGUGAGUGACGGUAAUGGGUAAAGAAGCACCGGCUAACUACGUG
Molecule: ribosomal RNA, 468 nt
Filed under: uncultured bacterium
Lineage: Bacteria
Description: partial 16S ribosomal RNA
Rfam family: Bacterial small subunit ribosomal RNA
Source: RNAcentral